AGCUUUGUGCAGUGGCAGUAUUGUAGCUAAUGAGGUUUAUCCGAGGCGUGAUUGUUGCUAAUAGAAAACUUUUCCCAACACCCUGCAAUGAUGACUUACAAUAUAGUUGGCAUUGGCAAUUUUUGAUGGUCCCUAUGGGGA
Molecule: small nuclear RNA, 141 nt
Organism: Lemur catta (Ring-tailed lemur)
Lineage: Eukaryota; Metazoa; Chordata; Mammalia; Primates; Lemuridae
Product: U4 spliceosomal RNA
Exons: 1
Source: RefSeq, a predicted model, not a curated record